Long non-coding RNA from Halichondria panicea, 483 nucleotides. RefSeq lists it as uncharacterized. Lineage: Eukaryota; Metazoa; Porifera; Demospongiae; Suberitida; Halichondriidae. The transcript is spliced from 2 exons. The record is from RefSeq and is a predicted model, not a curated record.
UGGAAUGAUUUCCAUUAAAUGUGCACCUAAAGAUCUGUCGCAGUGCAGUGCAGUGCAGUGGCAAGCAGAGCAGAGUCGAGUAGCAAGAUCUUAGAUCAGAGUGUGACAAGCUAACUAGUUUUAAUGUGUCUGAUCUGAUCAGUAGAAAAUAACUGCAGAUUGUCAUAAUGUCCUCUAGUGGUGGUGGUUCAUCUGCUCCAUCUGACGCAACGAGACGAAUUGUUGAAACUGAAGUAAAACGCAUAAUUCUCUCCAGAUAUCGUAGAAGAAAUGCUAUAGUUGGUCUGUGUCUCCUGGGUGGAGUGCUGAGUGUGUAUGGCUACUCCAUGUUUGCCGUUAGACAGGAGAGCUUAAACCUAGAUGACAUUGUAGACCCAAAUGAAAAUGUUUCAAACAAUCCAGCACUGUUUGCUAGCAAAUCAAAGUAGUUUUGCUUUGUGCUUAAUACAUUCACGUUCAUAAAUAAAAAUUGAACACAUCGUA